UACGGAGGGUGCAAGCGUUAUCCGGAUUCACUGGGCUUAAAGGGUGCGUAGGCGGGCAGGUAAGUCAGUGGUGAAAUCCUAGAGCUUAACUCUAGAACUGCCGUUGAUACUAUCUGUCUUGAAUAUUGUGGAGGUGAGCGGAAUAUGUCAUGUAGCGGUGAAAUGCUUAGAUAUGACAUAGAACACCAAUUGCGAAGGCAGCUCGCUACACAUAUAUUGACUCUGAGGCACGAAAGCGUGGGGAUCAAACAGG
This 253-nucleotide ribosomal RNA is filed under the name uncultured bacterium. RNAcentral describes it as "partial 16S ribosomal RNA". It matches the Rfam family "Bacterial small subunit ribosomal RNA", at positions 524 to 776 of the family's 1533-position model. The record is from RNAcentral.